CUCAGGCCCCUCCCCCCUCCACUACACACCUGAUUGAGGCGUUCACGGCCAUUGCCAGCGUGGGAAUUACACAGCGAGGGACGUCAUCCAAUUGGACCGACGUCUCCCUGAGCAAUUUGCCUUGGCUUCGCUCGCUGGCGUCGUCGCCGGCCAUCGUGGCGCCGCCUGCUUUUGUAUCCGCCGGGAUUCCUGGCUGGACCAGCCGGCAACAUGGCGGCUGAGCUCGGAGGGAAAGAAGGGAUUUGAGCUCGAGGGGAAGAAUGGAGGCGAGAUGAGUGUGUCGGUGUUUGCACUUGUUGUUACUUGUUCUCUUCCUGUUCCUGAUCCUAUUGCGACGAGACAAUGAACGCUCGCAGCCAAAACAAGUUUGCAUCUCCCCGACACAAAGCAACGUGUUUAUACAUAUGAUAAUCUACCACUACGACAACUAUGCUAAUUAAUUUGCGUGCAUGCGUGUGUGUGUGUGUCCUUUGCCUGCCUUAGAAAAACAACGUACAGAAAUGUGUACAGUCCAACUUAAUUCAAUCUGUUUGUUUAUUGUGGUGGGAGAACAAGCUCGUCAUUUUAGUUAGCCAACCAGAGCGAAGAUAAUAACAACAGCAAUACUUGAAAUGAAUUGAAAUGCUAUUCAUCCGUUCUGGCUGCCCCCCCCCCCCCCAAAAAAAAACUACUUUUCUCCUUACGUCUUUAAAUUAGAAAAACAGCAUGUUAUUGUAAAACACAUAUACGGUAAAAACGCAAAAAAAAAACAAAGGUGAAUGUAAGGAAAUACACUGGCUUUAUGAAGCGUCAUGAAGCCAUAAAUCACUUACACACGCAGUCGUACAGUAUUCAAUCAUUUAUUCGCUUUUAAAGGGGCGUGGCCUAGUGAGAUAUGUCAGGACUCCAGCUCCGAUUGGUUUGUUGCCCCGUUCAGCGCCGUGUUAGCAUCUGCUCCGUGCUCCUUGCGAGUGUUUUCAUUUUGUAUGUUGCGUGUUUGGUUGCUCGUACCGUUCCGAAAACGUCCGAAAGUGAAAGCGCAUCGGUGACUUGUCUUGAGCGGAGGUGUAUCUGAUUCGUACUCAUAAGUCCAAUUUUGGCUCGCAACAUAGAGCAACUGAACAACUCAGCUUGCAGUAAGCAACUUACCUGUUUCCAAUUAAUCUGUUCACCUGUGGAAUGUUCCAAACAAGUGUUUUUUGAGCAUUACUCAAAUUUCCCAGUGAAAAAAACAUUUAUCAGUUUGAACAUUGAAUAUCGUGUCUUUGCAGUGUAUUCAGUUGAAUAUACUGUUGGUUGAAUUGGAUUUGCAAAUCAUCGUGUUCUGUUUUAAUUGAUAUUUUACAAAACAUUGGAAUUGAGGUUUGUAGAUGGCUGCCAAAAGACACUUCCUGUGGUCAUCCCUUCUUGGUCUACAGCAUCACUCCCUGGAAUACAUGAUCAGGUCCGAUUCCAAGUCAUUGCUUCCUGGUCUCGAUCAUCACUUCUUGGUCUACGUCAUCACUUCCUGUUCCUGGUCUUCCACAGGAGCGAAAGACGGUGCUUGGACAUCUCAUGGAAGCCAUUUUGAUUUGCUUUGACAGUCGACCGUCACAAGCCUGGGAUAAGAUGGCAAGCCAAAGACUUCUUUUUGCUCUCCCUUUGAUGAUUGGCGAAGCGAAAUCACACGAGGCCAUCAUAUUUUAUGCUUCUGUAAUGCACUGUUAGCACGACCACGGAACUGACUGACCAAUGUCUUCAUGAAGACUGAGUCACAUGACCGACAGGUCGGGAAAGAGCAGAAAUGGAAUCCCGUUUGGUGACCGCUUGUCAGUCAAGACGAGCCUCCCAGCUUGAAGACGGAUGUUUUCCCAACAUUGAGGACACGUGCGCGCCCCCCUUUGAUGGAUGGUCUGACUGUCUGUGGCGGGAUGUUAACAUAAAACCCGCAUUUAAAUAUGUUACUUAUCAACACUUUGCAGUUCAUCAACUGGGAGAACUUGAUUUAUUUGCUCCUUUAUCAGCGUGGAGUAAUUAGACGUUAAUAGCAAAACAUUUGCAGGCCGGCGUGUGAUUGAUGGACCGGUUUGGUGCACCUCUCUUUGCUUUCAGGACUGUUGAGUUGGAAUUAAACACAGGAAAAAGACUCAUCCAUGUUAGCUUAGCGGCUAGUGUAAUAUUUUACAUCAUUGCGACAAAGUCAGGGCACAUAGAAACAAACAAGCAUUCGCGCACACAUUCACACCUAAGGGCAAUUUAGAGUUCCCAAUCAACCUAGCAUGCAUGUUUUUGGGAUGUGGGAGGAAACCGGAGUGCCCGGAGAAAACCCACCCAGGCACGGCGAGAACAUGCAAACUCCACACAGGCGGGGCUUAGAUUUGAACCCCGGUCCUCAGAACUGCGAGCCGGAUGUGCUAAGCAGUCGCCCCCACCGUGUUCAAUUCAAUUUGAAUUAUUAUUUUACAACAGUGCACAGCGGGACGAACAGCCAAUCAGACUGUUGUGACAGGAGGCGUUACCGAAAAGUCUGUUGAUUGUCUUCACGUGUCCACCGCGCACACGGAGGCUCGCAGACUAUUCUAGUUUCUUGGCUGUAUUAUUUAAUUCCGGUUAGCAACAAAAGUUAAAAAGGAGGAAUUGGACAGCUUUCUACCUCAAAUCAAGGGUAAAGAUAAUAAUAAUGUAUAACAGUGGAGUGUGUCCUAUACAGCCGCUCAGCUGAGCUUUGAACACCACUGCAUACAUCACGUCACCGUUCUCACCGGGUCGUCAGUGAACAUGUCAAGCCAGCAGCUUCCGGAAGCAUCGCGCAAGCAGGACGCCCGCCGGACAGUACAUUAGCGUGUUUGCGUGGCCGCCUUGAUGUGUCGCAGCCUGGGUGAUGGAGCGUCGUCUUCCUCCGCUGACUUGUGACGCAGCAAACGCAAGAUGGACGAUCGUUCGCUGAUGAAAAGGACUUGUUUGUUCAUUCACGCACGAUGGAUGAAUUGCACCAGAUAAAAUAUCUUCCGCCGAACGAUUGUUUCACGCCGCCGUCCCGACCGGAAGUCGUGGAGGAUUUCAAAUAGAUGACAAAUGUCGAGGUCCCAGAGUCGUUUAUCAAAACGGGUGUAUUGACACAGAUAAACGAAAAUGAAAAAUAAAUCAAUAAAUGUCUGAGCCACAAUUGACUGACAACCAA
Long non-coding RNA from Phyllopteryx taeniolatus (common seadragon), 3139 nucleotides. RefSeq lists it as uncharacterized. The record is from RefSeq and is a predicted model, not a curated record. The transcript has 6 exons. NCBI's taxonomy places the organism in Eukaryota, Metazoa, Chordata, Actinopteri, Syngnathiformes, Syngnathidae.